Long non-coding RNA from Chenopodium quinoa (quinoa), 950 nucleotides. RefSeq lists it as uncharacterized. The transcript is spliced from 2 exons. The record is from RefSeq and is a predicted model, not a curated record. NCBI's taxonomy places the organism in Eukaryota, Viridiplantae, Streptophyta, Magnoliopsida, Caryophyllales, Amaranthaceae.
AACCAUUGCCAAUUAUUUUUGGAUUUGGCAACCCUCAAAUACGCAACAGUUCAAAAUCGUUGCCUAUGGGGGGGUUUGAACCGUUGCCAAUUUGCUCUUUUCAUGUAGCGUCUAUAAUAGGAAUUAGGAACUCAUCUAGACUAUUGAUCGCGCUUAAUCUAAUGGCUCACAUUCCACCCGCCUCAUUAAUGGCAUUUUUGUAAUUUAUGCAUUGAAUGACCUUCGUCCUAACUCAUGCGCUGUUCAUUUUCUCUCUCUCUUCUUCCGCAUUUUCUCUCUCUAGAAUUUGUUUUCUCUCUUCUCCUGCAAACUCACUCUUCUCUUGCAAUUCCUCUAAUCUUUCCGCACGGCAUCAAUUUUCAUCUUCUCAUCUUCGUGCAUUCUUCAAGCAAGUUGAUGGGCAGUUAUGAUGAUGGCUCCCCAUUAAUGCUGCAAUGCCUCACUCACUUGAUGUUGAUCACGUCAUCAAGAUCAAGUUGAUUUUUCACAAUUGAACAUGUGAAGAUCAGCCCGAAAAAUGAUCGGGUUGAGUGCUGCUGUUGGCCCGGCCUAGGCUGCUGCUACAGCUGCUGGCCCUGCCUAGACUGUUGCUGCAGCUGCUUCCCUGCCAUGGCUUGCUGCUGCUAUGCUAUUUCUGCUCUACCGCCUGCUGCUGCUAUGCUACUUUUGCUCUGCUGCCUGCUGCUCGGGAGUUCUUAAAGUUUAGCGAAACGGGAAGCUGCUGUGAGCAAGAGUGCAGCCUAUGCAGGAGGAACAGCAGAAGCAUGAGCAGAAGUAAUAUUAUUUAUUUACUUUAAUGAUGUUUUAAUUUACUUUAUAGCCUUUUUUAUUUACUUUUGAGCUGAGGUAUUUUGAGUUCAACACUUUAUCACCAAACAGUGACAUGCCCCAUCUCCAACUCCAACCCCUACCCAGAUACGAAAUAAAAGAACAAAACUAUGUUACCAUAA